CCUACGGGAGGCAGCAGUGAGGAAUAUUGGUCAAUGGUCGGGAGACUGAACCAGCCAAGCCGCGUGAGGGAUGAAGGUACAGAGUAUCGUAAACCUCUUUUGUCAGGGAACAAAGGCGGGGACGCGUCCCCGGAUGAGUGUACCUGAAGAAAAAGCAUCGGCUAACUCCGUGCCAGCAGCCGCGGUAAUACGGAGGAUGCGAGCUUUAUCCGGAUUUAUGGGGUUAAAGGGGUGCGCAGGCGGUCUGUUAAGUCAGCGGUCAAAGCCCGGGGCUCAACCCCGGCCCGCCGUUGAAACUGGCAGUCUCGAGUUGGAGAGAGGUAUGCGGAAUGCGCGGUGUAGCGGUGAAAUGCAUAGAUAUCGCGCAGAACUCCGAUUGCGAAGGCAGCAUGCCGGCUCCACACUGACGCUGAGGCACGAAAGCGUGGGUAUCGAACAGGAUUAGAUACCCGUGUAGUC
RNAcentral lists this ribosomal RNA (459 nucleotides) under uncultured bacterium. RNAcentral's name for it is "partial 16S ribosomal RNA". It matches the Rfam family "Bacterial small subunit ribosomal RNA", at positions 338 to 795 of the family's 1533-position model. The record is from RNAcentral.